This 390-nucleotide ribosomal RNA is filed under the name Picozoa sp. Its description in RNAcentral is "partial small subunit ribosomal RNA". It matches the Rfam family "Eukaryotic small subunit ribosomal RNA", at positions 582 to 975 of the family's 1831-position model. The record is from RNAcentral. Lineage: Eukaryota; Picozoa.
AUUCCAGCUCCAAUAGCGUAUAUUAAAGUUGUUGCAGUUAAAAAGCUCGUAGUCGGAUUUUGGCAUCACGCCGAACUGUCAGCCGAUUGGUUUGUACGGUUUGGCGGGUGCUCUCCUUCCGGAAGCUCGUUCCCUUCUUAGUUGACGGGUUCGAUGGUUCCGGGUCUUUUACUUUGAAAAAAUUAGAGUGUUCAAAGCAGGCCUAUGCUCUGAAUAGGUUAGCAUGGAAUAAUAGAAUAGGACUUUGGUUCUAUUUUGUUGGUUUCUAGGACCGAAGUAAUGAUUAAUAGGGACAGUUGGGGGCAUUCAUAUUCCAAUGUCAGAGGUGAAAUUCUUGGAUUAUCGGAAGAUGAACUUCUGCGAAAGCAUCUGCCAAGGAUGUUUUCAUCA